Long non-coding RNA from Amphiprion ocellaris (clown anemonefish), 10498 nucleotides. RefSeq lists it as uncharacterized. Lineage: Eukaryota; Metazoa; Chordata; Actinopteri; Pomacentridae. The transcript is spliced from 2 exons. The record is from RefSeq and is a predicted model, not a curated record.
UCUGUCAGUAACAAACGGUACUCCUGAGACAUGUCUGACCUGACAUCAGUGAUAUUAAUGAGAAACACCGCUGUCUUAAUUUGAACUCUCAGAGGUCCUUACAACCUCACUUAUCAGUGUCAGUCUUCAUCACUACACCCUUUCUCUCACUCACAUGACAUCCAGUCUCCCACCUGCAAAUCCUAAUAUAUUCCAGGGUUCCCACUGAUCCUGUAAUUGAAUAGCAUUGAUUUUUGGAUGGUAUUUUCUUCCUUUUUCAAGGCAGAAUACCUACAGUGCAACCCUGGUUUUCAUGGUUUUGAUAUGAGAUUCAAGUGUUUAUCUGCAGUUUAAUCAUGUUUUUAUUUAGUUUGGAUUACUGGAGAUGAAUGUCUGUGUGAUGUUUUGUAAUACACUUGUCAUAUAUCCCCUUGUAGUUAAACAGUAUAGUGUUUUAAAUCCCUGCCCGGGGUCUGGGACUAGUGAUUAUCAAAAUUAUGACUUCAAUACGAAACCUGCCUAAAUUCAUCAAUACCACAGCAAAAAGUAAUGUAGUAACAAAGGAGAGAGCGUGACACUGAAAAUAAAUUUUCUAUCAAUUAUAUUCAAUGGAUAUUAAAUAUUUAAUAAAAAAUGUAACAUUGCUGUGUUUGAAGCCAACAGACCCUCUUUCACUGGACCACUCGGUUCCUACCCAGAUUUUUGAGCGCUAAGCAAUCACAUUAAUCACAUUAAAAACAAGAAAAGCACUCAGAGAGUACACUACUCCUCCAAGGCUGCUCAGUCCUUGCAUGAUUUCCGACAAAUUUGUGGUCCACAGCGGUGGAUUUGUAGUAGGAUCACAAUCGUGAUCGUCAACAGGCAGCUGACGUAGUGUUCACUUGUUGUCAUGGUUACAGUGACGCCGUGCCGCUAUCUGGCAAUGAUACAGAAAUCUUUAACAAAUCCGUGGAUCCAGACUAUAAGCUGCAUCACUGUCAAAAUCUAAUCACUUGGUCCUUGUGUCAUUUCUGACCUUCCCUGAAAAUUUAAUCCAAAUCUGUUUGUCUGUUUUUGAGUAAUGUUGCUAACAGACAGACAGACAGACAGACAGACAGACAGACAGACAGACAGACAGACAGACAGACAGACAGACAGACAGACAGACAGACAGACAGACAGACAGACAGACAGACAGACAGACAGACAGACAGACAGACCAAUGCCGAUCGUCACAUAAUUCCACUGUGAUCCUUGGAGGAGUAACAAUUUAGACUGUAGACUAUUUUUAGUGAACCUUUUCUCAUUUUUAAAUGUAAUUUGACUAAAAAGAAAACUAGAAUAUGCUCAGAGUGCAGACCUCUGCCAAGGCCGUCUGUUGACUGCAGUCAUUUGUGUUUAGUCUGCUUUAGUGCACAACGGCAGGGUGCAGGCUAAUACACCUGGGUGUGUGCUUCAUCACCAUGAAGUGCCAGACUUACAGUUAGUCAUUUAUUAUAUUCAUGCUCAAUAGAAUUAUUUGUGCUAUGUGCUGUUAAAUGUUUUCUUGUUUGUUUGCCCUUUCAUAUGUUUUUAUCAUAUGUGUGUUUUUGACAAAGUAUUAUUAUAUAAACAUUAAGUGGAUUAUUACAAAAAUUUGAUUACACUCAGCGUUAACACUUUUACAUGGUUUGCAGUGAUCUGAUGUCCUCUGUAUAUUAUGUAAUUUCUGUUAUAGUCACCUUAGAUUUGAAACUAGAUAUCAGUUAUUAUACAGCAUUUAAUAGACUUGGUUCACCUCUAGUGAGUGCAUCUUUUGGUCAUAGAGGUCAUUUUUGACCAAAACGUACAUGCCACAUUUACUAUUACUAUAGUAAUAGUGUAAUAUUGUUGAUCUGGGGCGGCACGGUGGAGCAGUGGUUAGCAAGGUCGCUUCACAAUGUGAAAAUCCUGGGUUCAAAUCUUUCUGAAUGGAGUUUGCAUGUUUUCCCUGUGUGGGUUUUGCUCAGGCUUCCACCCACAGUCCACAGACAUACUGAGGUUAAUUGGUGAUUCAAAAAUUGUCCAAUAUAAUUGUCCAAAAUAUUUCUCCACACACUGAUGCAAAUAUUAAACAGAUAUGCAUGCUUUUUAUACGGUUUUUGUAACAGAAUGAUUUGUCCACGGGGUACCGUACAGUUAAAUGCCUCUAGCAAACAGCAUGUCAACUACUGUCACAACAUAAAAAUGGAACGGCUUCUCACUGCUGAUUGGUCAGAGCAAAACACAGUGUUCUCUGUCCAAACAAGAAAUCAGGCAAUACUAAUCAAUUUUUUUCUCAGAUCUUUGAUUAUGUGAGUGGACAUUGCUUGGGAAACAUCACAAGUCAGGAAAUUUAGAAUACAGUGGCACAAGUGGGAGUAGGUAUUUUCUUUCCCUGUUAGUACACCUUUAAUUUUCAAUAGCUGAUCCUCGAGGCUUUUCUUUUCAGCCAUGGUCAACAUAAUUCAAACACUCAUUUUCUGUUUGAAUUUUACUCUGCUGCACAGUUGUACUGCAGUGUAAAACUCAUAACCCCUCACCCAGGAGACAUUGGUGUUUACAGCAGCAUAUGCAAGCUUACAUAAAACAUAUAAAAGUCCCCGUCCUAGAGGAACCUCAUACCAGAAGACAUUUGGUGGCCUGCAGCCUGCUUUAUGUUGCAUAAUGUGGUCAGGAUGCACCAUUGACAUGUACACCAUAUGCAUCCUUUACCCAUUUGUGUGGUGGUGGUCUUGUAAGUGCACCACAGAUCAUAUCUGCUGCGUAGCCUGGUAACCCCUCGCUGACAGAUGCUGUCACCAUGCUGCUCUGUCAGAAUGCGGUUGCCUGAGUGGAUCAAAAUAACCACGUCCCCCCGUGCCAUCAGUCGGACCAGCCCUUAUCGCCUUCCCUACCGCUUCUUUUUCAGCACACACAGUCUGAGUUUAUGUCUGCUCCAUGGCACCCAGGAGACAGCCUCCCAGCAAUAAAAUGUAAGCGGUAUCCAUGGUGCUUCUUGUGAGAGGAACAUAGCGGGAGUUGCGACGAACCAACAUCCAUCCAUCCAUUAUAUACACUGCUUAAUCCUCAUUAGGGUUACAGGGGGGCUGGAGUCUAUCCCAGCUGACUUAGGGUGUUUUUGGACUGUGGGAGGAAGCCGGAGAACCUGGAGAAAACCCACGCAUGCACAGGGAGAACAUGCAAACUCCAUGCAGAAGGAUCCUGGGAAGGCGGGGAUGUGAACCGGUUACCUUCAGGCUGCAAGGCGACAGCGCUAACCAUCAAUGCUAAUUGGCUUUCAUCGGGAUUCGUCUGUGUAACCGUACUCUGAGGGAUAAUUGUCACUCUGUGGCUAAGCUACAAAUUACAGUAAUGGAACUGAUACUGUUGUUUCCCUGGAAGAUGAAGAAAAACACAGUGAGAAUGAAAUGAUGGCAGAUCUGCUGAUGACUUGAGCUAAUGAUGAUUUAAUCAUGUUAAGUGUGCAUUCAAGCCAAGCAACUUGGAAUUGAUUGAAAUAAACGUUUAGAGCAUCUUUCCCUGUAGCAUGUUUCAUUUUCAAGGUGACAACAAUGCUGUUCAUACUGAGCGAGUACUGAAUCACCACACACUAAUGCUCGAAACUAUUAACCUUGUUUUUUCUACCUGCAAAUAUACCUGCAAUGCUGUUCAUAAAGAAUGUGAACAUAAUCCGAAGCAACCACAGGAAACGUCCUCAAUGUGAACGUUUUUAAGGGUAAUGAAGAGAUGGACAUCGGAUAGCCAGUAGUUACUCAUGUUUGAAAAGGUUAGCAAAACAAAAUGAACCAAAGGGAAACCACACCACAGUGUGCACUGAUGCUUAUAUUUUCAGCAUUUUUCAUGUGUGUUUCACUGAUAGGAACACAGAGGGAAUUAUAUCAUUGCAAAAAGUACAGAUGAGUCCAUCAUGCUUAGCUAAAUUACAGGAGGGAUUUGUUAUGAUUGUUCGUCCUGACCUCUUUAAGCACCGUUCAUGAGUUAAUGCUGAUUUUUGGUUGGAAGCCCUAAUAUGUUGUUUCAUACAAAGUACUCCCACAAUGAUUUUUUUUCCACUGUUUCAAGAAAACUAGCUAUAAACAUUUAAAUCCUGACAAACAUGGUCUUUACAGGAGCCUGAAAGGGCCGUCAGUUAUUCUUGACCUCCUGUGAACAAUAGUUCACGAAACAGUUUCCCUUCAAGAUCCGCUUACUUGCUAUUUCUGGAACUGUUGGCCAUUUCAUAAGGUCUUAAUGAGAAGAUUGUUUUUGCUCAAAGCCUGAGAAUGCUGACAGUUAUGAAAAGUUAGAACAUGACAAUGCUGAUGAAAACUGUCGUGCAAUUGAAAACUCCAAAACAAGUGAGGAAGUGGACUCUCUCCAUGAUUCCAUCGAUGAAAAUCAGUUUGCAUCAGACUGUCUGCAGGACAUUUAGCAAAAUGGUUGUCAACAACAUAAUCAAACUUAGCGUCUAAGACAGGGAUGUCAAACUCAUCUUAGUUCAGGUUCCACUUUCAGCCCAGUUUGAUCUCCAGUGGACCGAACCAGUAAAAUAACAGCAUAAUAACCUUUAAAUAACCAUGUUUUCCCAUUGUUUUAAUGCAAAAAAGCACAUUCUGAAAAUGUUCACAUUUAUCUUUUUACAAAACAUCGUCAACAACCUGAAAUUUCUUAAGAAAAACAAGUUCAAUUUCAAAAACAUCGUGCCUCAGUUUUUCAUUUGUGCAUUACAACUUCCAGACCACAGAGUGUCUACAAAGGAACAAAACAUUUAGUCACAGGUACCUCGACCUGAACGAUAUAGUAUUUUACUAUAUGAUCAAAACAAAAGUCAGACAAAAAAAAGUCAAAAAAACAACAAAAACAAGACAAAAUAUUCAAAAAACUAGACACAAAGCGACAAAAAGAUGGACAAAUGACACAAGUGAGACAAAAAAAAGCCAAACGACAAAAACAGGACAAAAUACAACGAAUAAAGUGAAACACAAAAUGACAAGAAUAAGACAAAAAACACAAGCAAGAUAAAAAAGGAAACAAACGAGAAACAAAACGAGAAAAACAUGAGACAAAUGACAAACGUCAGAAAAAAAAAUAAAAGCAAGACAAAUUAUUACAACAACAAGGCACAAAAUGACAAAAACAAUGAGCAAUCUAGCAUUUUACUUUAUGAUCAAAACAACUUGUCAUGGUCUAGAAAUUAUUUUAAAUUUACAAUUUUACAAAUUUAUAAAUUGGCAAUUAAUGUCUUCUCUCUAAUUUUUACACUUUACAAAAUUAUCCUGCGGGCCAGAUUGGACCCAUGGAGGGCCGCUUUUGGCCCGCAGGCCGCAUGUUUGACACCUCUGGUCUAAGAUUUUGUGUUGCACUUUCAAGUUUAAAAGACUCACAAGUGAACAAUUAAAUAAAUGAAAAAAUAUAUAAAAGCAUGGUAAAGAGCUAACCAUGCUGAAUCCUACAUGUCCCAUGAUGCCUUUGGACAGCAUCUUUAACCCUUAAAAGCAUACCAUAGGGUUUUAGUCACCCAGGACCACAUCACACCUGGUGUAAUUCAUACAUAUCACUCAGUCGUGUACUCAGCUCGACGGUAUUCUUCUUUAACAGUGUUCUGUUGUCUAAAUGUCAAAAAUUUGUAAGUUUUAUUACUCCGCCAAGGAACGUGGUGGAGUUAUGUGACAAUCGACGUACGUGAAUCCUUCCAUCUGUUAGCAACAUUACUCAAAAACGGACUAACGGAUUUGGAUUAAAUUUUCAGGGAAGGUCAGAAGUGACACAAGGACCAAGUGAUUAGAUUUUGGCAGUGAUGCAGCUUACAGUCUGGAUCCACGGAUUUGUUAAAGAUUUCUGUAUCAUUGCCAGAUAGCGGCACAGCGUCACUGUAACCAUGACAACAAGUGAACACUACGUCAGCUGCCUGCUGAUGAUCACGAUUGUGAUCCUACUACAAAUCCACCGCUGAGAACUUAUCAGGACUUAUCUGUCGGAAAUGAUACAUGGAACAACUGAUUAAAUCGAGGGUGUUUCUGAGUCCCAUCAAUUCCCGCCGCCCGCUACAUAUUUAGGUCACGUGAUUUGACAUCCGUACAUAACAUACAUAUGCAUAACACACGCCUGUGCUCAGCGCAAGGUCAUAUUGUUUGUGGGUACAUCUAUAUUAAAUGGACAUAUUCUAUGUUGCUGUGAUUUCUGAUCAUCUAACAAAAAAACCCCCUGCAUUUCUAAAAAAAUAUGCUGCAUUUCUGACAAUGCCAUAUGGGGGAAUGAACAGCCUUGGCGCAGUACUGCACUCUCUAAGUGCUCGUCUGGUUUUGCCAAUGUUUUAAUCUUGUAAGUUUACAGUAUAGUCUAGCAUACACUUAUUGACCAAAUUAUUAGGUACAUCUGUAAAAUCACAUGCAAUUCAGUGCAUCUCACUGUCAUAAUAAAUAAAUUCAGACACAAUCAUCCAGUCUGUUACAGUUAGCCUAAGAUGUAGCAUGAGUUGCAGGUGUACAGCAAAACAGCAUUUCCUUUUCUUUGAAAUUGGAUUGCUCUGAUGGCAACAGCUCAGCAUAUGAAGAUGUACCUGAGGCCGCUAAGAAUGAGGACUUAGUUUUAGUGCCGUACAUGAAUCUGAUUCCUUAAAAGUAGAACCAGAGCAUGAGAAUGACAAACUCCCUCAGAGUGCUUCUCAUUUGACCCAAGAGAAGUUAGGACUUAUGAGGGAAUCUCAGAUAGUUGCCUCCGCUGCUUCAGCCGUGGCUCAGGUGGUAGAGUGGGUUGUCCACUUUUCGCAAGGUAGGCGGUUUGAUCUCCGGUCACCUCUGCAUGCCAAAGUGUCUUUGGGCGACACACUGACCAUAAAGCUGCUUCAGAUGGCAGCAGGCACCUCGCAUGGCAGCUCUGUCGCUGUUGGUGUGUGAAUGAGUGAAACAUUGUAAAGCGCUUUGAGUACCACUAAGGUAGAGGUGUGUUAUGUAGGUGCAGACUGUUUAACGCUGCUUUUAGAAAUGCACAAGUAGUUUUCCAGGACAAUUUUCCAAUUUGGUAAACCUGAAGAUCUACCCUGAACACUGUCCUUGAAAACAUUCUGGUGCCACCAUUUCCAAAAACUAAUAAUAGAAGUCUUGAGUUGGUAUAAAAUCAGAACUGCUUCAGGAAAAGAACUUUGAUCUGCUUUUAGGUCCAAUAAAAUUGAACUUUGCCUCUUUGCACCACAACCAGAUUCCAAUAACAACAACUAUGUGAAUGUGGUCAGUGUUUGGUAUGUGCCAUUCUGAGAAGUUACAGUGUAAAAUUACAUAAAUGACUACAAAAUGUUUUAGUGACUUUGUUAUUGUUAGUAAUACCCCCUUAAAAGGUGACAAGGGCUAUGAUGUCCAUAUGUGACUUAAUUAAGACCUUAAGACUCAAACAUUUUAGAGACAAUUUGAUUUUCCAGGCUAAUUCCCCACUUUUUGAACUCCAAACCUACAGGUUGCAGGGCAGGGCAGACUUACUUUUUAACAUUUAGGUCUCAAGCAUGAUCCCCAAUUGUUUUUUUGGUGUGUGGAGUUUUAUAACUUAAAGCUUCUUACAGUAUCUAGAGAAGACAUUUUUUGCACACUGACUCCCUGUGAUGAGUCUACUGAGCCUCUUGUAUAAAACUGGUGGUAUGCCCCUUUAAACACUGCAUCCAGUCUGGUUGAGCUGUUGAACAUGAAACAAAAAAUCAUACAAAUAUAUUGAUGCAGUUUUCCAAUUACCCCAAGGCAAAUGCAAUAGAGGCUGUAAGAGAGUUCCUUUUCGCUCAUUAAAAUCUGCUAAUUGCCUGAUAUUUAUAACCCUGUAACAGCUGAACUGAGUGCAGUUUGACUCAGAUAUUAAAAACUGACAGCCUGCAAAACAAUUAAUUGUCUGUAUUUUCUUGCAGCCUGUGUGUGGUCACUGUACCACAUCUUUUUAAUACACAUGGUGACAGAUGAGUAGUCCUUGCAGCUUUCGAAGUUUCUCAUAAACCAGACUUUUUUUUUCUUUUAAGGCAGUGAGAGCGAUGGAGAUUAUGUGUUGUGGCCUUGAGAGGAAACCUAUGCUGCUACUUGUAUAAACUGUAAAGUAAUCUCACCGUGGAGCUCCGGUUUCUCCCCCCUCGCAGACCUGUCGGCAAAACACGAUCUGGCUAGAUUUGGGAAUAGAGUAAAGGGGAGGCAGGGAGAGAGUUUAUCUGAUACUUUCCAAAAAAAGACCCCCACUAGCCCCCACUUCCCAAGGCAGACCAGGCAGAGACACCACAUCUGGUAAUACUGUAGGCACAUUGUCCUUCCAGGUCUGUGGGCAAAGCUCAGGUUUCCUCAAUAUUUUCCCCUGGUGGAUUCAGUUACCCAAAGGGCACAGCGGGGCUGACGGAGCAGCCAGCGUCACCAGACUUUUCUGAUGAACCAAGGAUGUCUGGGAUGAGCUGAAGGAGCUCUAAAUUUAACCUCAUUCAUCUAAACUGUACAGGCGUGGUCUCGGCUCCUCUGUCCACAUUGUUGUUUCGCUGUGAAUGAAGAAUGGAGAGCUCGACUUCAGAUUUUUACUCAUUCAUUAGAUCCGGACGAAAAUAGUCACUUUUAAACAUGCUCUCUUCUGGUGCUUGAUAAGGGGCCUGGCAGUGUUUCUGUAAGCUAAAAUGUAGUCAUGCAUGCCCCCUGUAAGAGGAAAUGGGCAACUGCAGUCUUAAACAAAUAAGACUCAGGCAAUGGGCAUUUUUUAGAUUUUUUUUUUUUAAAGUUGUUGCCCCUUUUUAAAUGUUUUUAAAAAUGUUGCCACAGUGUAUUUUAUUACUGGUUGCAGAUGUAGUGGUUAGACUUGGACUUGAAUCCCAUUUUUCCUUUGCUGAUAAGCCAAACCCAAGUGAAAUGAAUCUUUAAAUAAUUAGUGGAUUUGAGUAAAAUUGGAGAAAAGCGGACCCUGAGGUCAGAUCAUCACUCAAAAACCUUGUUAACCCCUCUGCUCUCUCUGGACACCGUCUUAAUUCAUCUCACCAUCUGCCUUUUAGCUUCAUUUCAGCCCCUCAGACCGGACUGAUACCUGAUCUCUCUACUGGACUCCUCUAUAAAUACAAAGCAUAAUGAACAAAGGCGAGUCUGGUUGUGCUUUAUGAAAUUGCCAGAAGCUCCCCUAUGCACUGAUAAUGAGUGGCUGAGUUGCAGUUCACCUGGCUUCCAGCACAUCUCACCUCAGAUUAAUUCUCCAAACCAGCUGUUCGGAUGCAAACCUUGGUGGCUCGUGCUUCAAUCAGGGGAGAAAUUGUGGUUUUUAAUCACAAAUGUCAUGGAUGAAUUGAGUGGCACGUCAGUUUUUAUCAAUCUCAUUUAGGAGUUUAAACGGCGCCAUAAGCCAGAAUAAUUUCUAAUGAGGGAGAGACUUAGCAGUCCAGUCCCUGAGCCUGAGGCACUUGAACAGGUCAAGUAGCUGUUGGUGGACGAGUAGACUGUUGGGCAGAUCAAACGAUAAUCUGUGGCUCAAAAUGCCGUCUUCACCCACCUUUUGAUAACAGCUUUGUGCAUUCUCUCAACCACUUUCAUGAGGUCAUCACCUGGAGCUUUUUCAACGUUCUCUGACUUGAUAUUCACUCUUUGGUCCAGCUCAUCCCAAACCAUCUCAGCUGGGUUUAUGUGGGUGAUUGUGGAGGCCACAUGUAGUACUCCAUCACUCUGUUUUUUGCUCAAGCUGCUCUUCCUGAGGUGUUUUUGGCUUGGUUUAUUAACACUAACCCUCACCCUUCAGGUUUUGUUGCAGCAAUUCUUCCAUGAAGGCAUGAUUCACACAGUCUCCUCCCAUCAUUUGCUUCUUGAACUCUAGGAAACAUUGAUGUGGGCUGUAAUCUGAGGUGCUGGUAAUUGUUGAUUCCUGAAGGCGGUAACUCCACUGAACCUCAAAGUUCUUGAAAUCUUCAAUAUUGACUCAUCUACAUGUGUUAAAGUCAUGAUGAACUGACGCUUCUCUGAGCAGUUCUUACCAUAAUAUGGAUUUCUACAGUACUGAAUAGAGACAUUAGAUUUUUAUCAACAGUACUUUGGGACAUCUUAACUGAUGGUCUCACAUUAAAAAGGCAAGAAAUUACACUUGUUAACUUUUGAUAAGGCUUGCCAAAACCGUUUGAUUUAGUAGAGGCACCAAAACCACCGUUAGCUUUAGCAGACGCCCCAAAACCACCGUUAGAUGCAGGAGAGGCACCAAAACGACCAUUAGCUUUAAUAGAGACACAGAAACCACCAUUAGCUUUAGCAGAGGACCCAGAACCACUAUUAGCUUUAGUAGAUGCCCCAAGACCACCGUUAUAUGUAGGAGAGACACCAAAACCACCAUUAGCUUAAGUAGAGGCCCCAAAAUCACCGUUGGAUUUAGUAGAGGCAACAAAACCACCGUUAGCUUUAGCAGACGCUCCAAAACCACCGUUAGAUGCAGGAGAGGCACCAAAACGACCAUUAGCUUUAAUAGAGACACCAAAACCACCAUUAGCUUUAGCAGAGGACCCAAAACCACCGUUGGCUUAAGUAGAGGCCCCAAAAUCACCGUUGGAUUUAGUAGAGGCAACAAAACCACCGUUAGAUUUAGUGGAGGC